AAAGGAACACUCCUAAAGGGGAAGAGAGGCUUCCUCUCCCUUCCGUUUGCAGAGGGAGCCUAAGGCAGCAAGUUUGGACUAGCCGCUUCCCCACGAAAGACCCCACACCAAGCUCAUUUUGAAGGGCGCCCCUGUGUUUUCUUUCCUGUUUUCUGCUGGGACUGUCUGGACUUCUAAAUUACAUGGGGGAACAGCUGGGGAACAGAAAAGCUUCUCUCAUCUGCUCUCUGGCCUGCCUCAGACUCCGGGAGCUGAUCACACAGAGAGUGGACGAUUUGGACACAGACUGCAGCCUUUGGGACUCAUGUUCUUCCCAAGAAACCCACCGCCUGGCAGGCUAAGCAUACGUGCUCCCCCUCUGUUCUUGAAGCUGGAAACAAGCGAUAGGCAAGUGACGAAAGAGAACAGAUAACGUGCAUCUUCCCAGGCAACCUAAUCUCAUGCAGAGAAAACGCCUCAAGCUGAGAACCAAGGGAAUGAGCCACGUACAGGGAUGCUGCCCCGGCCCCUCCCCUGCAGACUUGAGAACAAGUUGUGGCAGGGCCAUGUCUCACCUUAGAUUUGCCUCUGAAGUGACUACCGUGUUGCGCUCAUGAAAUCCCCCCUAAGCGAGCGUUUCCUUGGCUAUGACAUACUGAUCCCUUUCUCUCCUGAUCGAUAGCUGUUUCUGGUAGAAAUCUGCCUUAGUCACUGUUUCUAAAUCAAUCUUCAGAGCACCUUGUAAGCUCCUGGGACCACGUCUUCCCGGUUACCUGUAAGUGACACCCAUUCAUUUCAAUAGGAGGGACAUGUAAUUACUUGAAGAGACAAUUUGGCUGAUGGGCUUAUUGACAGUGCCCGGCCCUCCAAAUGCGCAUUUACAUCCUGCAACCGCUAUUUAAGAAGAUUGCAUGCCGCAUGAAUUAGGGGUUGCGCACUGAAGCCACCUCCGUCUUUACUCAUACAUUCCUUAUCUUUUUCUCCGAGUAUUCUCCUCUCAGAUUUAUACCAGGUUAUCUUCCCCCCCUCCCCCCUGACAUCCACUUCUCCAGGAUGUCUACUCUUUGUUUUCCUAAAGGUAAGGGCCUUUCCUAAAUUCGGUGGCGAAGGGGGAAAGUUGCCGACUGUUGGUCCCUAGAGAUGUUGGGAAUUGGAGGCACUGUGAUUCCUGGCCAGUUCUGCUGGGAUUGUCGUCUCCUGACCUCUGGAUCCAUUCUGGCCUGCGCAUCUGUCCUUUAUUUUUUUUUAGCACUGUGUCAGGAAGGGAAAGAACUAUUGUCCCCUGCCAAGGUUGUAGUUUGGAACCCGCGAAUCACUGGCAUCCCUUGGCAUCCUACACAAAGAAUAGACACGUGCAUGUUGUGCAUGUUCAGAAGCUGGAAGCUACAGGUAAUGGGCUAAGUGGUUUCAAAACAAGAGCCUUUCAAAGAACUUUCCAGAAGGGCUCUUAUCUAUUUCCUACCUCCAUUCCUCCCGCCCUUGCUUUUCCUUCCUUCUGUCUACUGCUUUCGGAUGUGUUGUGGAAAAAAGAUAAAAUAGAGACAUUCAGAAACUGAAAUUCUAGACACAGCCUGCCCUUGACUUUGGUACUAGAGAUAAGCCACCGCGUGGCUCUUGGACCUGGUUACUCCUUUUGUUGACAAAGUAAUUGUUGAAAGAAAACCUACCAGAAGCCUGAUCACGCUUGGGACUGGGAGGUGAAGAGAACGUGCGGUCUCUGCUCUCAUGAGCUGACAUUACCAUAGGGAAAUGAGUGGUGACCACAAAGAGAGAGCCCAGUCUCACCGUAUGAAGUUGGGAGCGUCUGUCUAGGUGUCUACACAUUUUGUGCUAUGAAAUUGGCACAGGAUUAUCCCUCCCAGACACUAAAGCGUCCUUUAAAAUGCAGCCCAGGCAAACAACGACUUUCUAAGCGAACAAAGGUACGGACCAGCACUCCCUGAUCUUCAGGCUUACUGUGAAAGCUUUAAUCACUUGACAAUGUGGUAGUCAUAAAGAUAGGCGUAUAGAUCUACGUGACAGAGUUUAGAGUUCAGAAAGAGACUCCCAUCUCUGUGGCCAAUUGAGUCACGAUAAACUGUGGUGAUCAAAAGUACAGACUUUGAUAUGUAACUAGAUAUCUAUAUUAAGGAAGGUGCCUCGACCUUUUCCUCACGAUGGAUUGAAAAUUCAAUUCAAAACAGAUCCUAGAGCUAAAUCUGAAAGCUAGUAUCAUAAAGAUUCUAGAAUAAUA
Long non-coding RNA from Peromyscus californicus insignis, 2212 nucleotides. RefSeq lists it as uncharacterized. The transcript is spliced from 2 exons. NCBI's taxonomy places the organism in Eukaryota, Metazoa, Chordata, Mammalia, Rodentia, Cricetidae. The record is from RefSeq and is a predicted model, not a curated record.